UACGUAGGGUGCGAGCGUUAAUCGGAAUUACUGGGCGUAAAGCGUGCGCAGGCGGCUUUGCAAGACAGAUGUGAAAUCCCCGGGCUCAACCUGGGAACUGCAUUUGUGACUGCAUGGCUAGAGUACGGUAGAGGGGGAUGGAAUUCCGCGUGUAGCAGUGAAAUGCGUAGAUAUGCGGAGGAACACCGAUGGCGAAGGCAAUCCCCUGGACCUGUACUGACGCUCAUGCACGAAAGCGUGGGGAGCGAACAGG
RNAcentral lists this ribosomal RNA (253 nucleotides) under uncultured bacterium. Its description in RNAcentral is "partial 16S ribosomal RNA". It matches the Rfam family "Bacterial small subunit ribosomal RNA", at positions 524 to 776 of the family's 1533-position model. The record is from RNAcentral.